UACAGAGGGUGCAAGCGUUGUUCGGAAUUAUCGGGCGUAAAGCGCGUGUAGGCGGCUUUGCAAGUCGGGUGUGAAAGCCCUCAGCUCAACUGAGGAAGUGCGCCCGAAACUGCAUGGCUUGAGUACCGGAGAGGAUGGUGGAAUUCCCGAAGUAGAGGUGAAAUUCGUAGAUAUCGGGAGGAACACCGGUGGCGAAGGCGACCAUCUGGACGGAUACUGACGCUGAGACGCGAAAGCGUGGGUAGCAAACAGG
This 253-nucleotide ribosomal RNA is filed under the name uncultured bacterium. Its description in RNAcentral is "partial 16S ribosomal RNA". It matches the Rfam family "Bacterial small subunit ribosomal RNA", at positions 524 to 776 of the family's 1533-position model. The record is from RNAcentral.